AAGUAUAUUAAGCCUUAAAGUUCUGGAUUAUUAGGGACGUGGCCGCUUUGAUUGACAGGUGUCUCUAGCCGCCGUCACUGCUAGCAAUCGGUCCGCCGUCUGUUAGCCUCACGCAGCUACAUGGAGCUCUGAGGCUCAGCCUGUCGGAGCCUUUUGGACAUUUCUACAUGCAAAUACCAGAUGAAUAAGGACAGGCUGUGCGGUUUAUUGGAGAGAGAACCUCCAGGAAGUCUGUGUUCUAGUUGUGAAAUAAGGCAGCCCAUUGGACAGCGGUACGGAGAGGUCGGCUCGGCCUCGCUUCUCAUUCCACCUCUGGAGUGGAUUACUUAAUGGAAAUGACCGCAGGGCUUGCAGGUCCACCCUGAUCAGCUCACAGCCCCGGCUGUCUCAAACCCUCUCUCAUUCUGAAGGUGCUGAACUAUCACCAAGUCCCAAAGACCCUCAAACACAGCUUGCCAGCCUCUGGUUGUAUCAAUAUUAGAAUCAUUCUUCUCCACUGCAGUGCACAAUGUUCACAGUGGAGAGACAGCAUUUCUAUGGGGAGAGAUUAAACCUUAAGUUUUGUUUUACAUCUUACUCCAGAGAUUUAUUAUUGAAUGUCUAUAAAGAUGGGUGGCUGCAAUGCAACAUUGUGACUUUUAGUCACAUGUGGAGCUCCACCAAAGAGUGGAGCUCCACAUGUCUUUUAGUAGGCUCUCCCUGCUUAACAAACGGCCACAUUUUUCAAACUACAAGCCAACAGUUUGUAAUGUGGUCUUUACAUUCAAAAUCUGAAGUCCCCAAGCCCAAGCCAAGAUAACCUUGAUGACAUCACAAGGCUAAUGUCCCUGGAGUUUCCCAUCAGUUUUCACAGGGUUGAGACAGAUCUUAGGGACACCUGAAUCUCCAAAUGAACUGCCGGCAGGCUAGUUGCUUUGUAGGUAAUGUACAGUAGGUGCCAAGAUUUGACAAGGAAGAACAACGCAUAAAAAUAAAAUUAGUUUGCUUGUGUCCAUUAAGACUCUUCAGCUGAUUCAGAAUGCUGCAGCACGUGUUCUGACAGGAACCAGGAAAAGAGAUCACAUUUCUCCUGUUUUAGCUUCUUUGCAUUGGCUUCCAGUAGUUUCAGGUUUCAGUUUCAGGUGAAUCCUGAACCAUCCCUUAGUUAUGCUGCUAUAGGCUUAGACUGCCGGGGGAUUUCCUGUGAUGCACUGAGCUCCU
Micropterus dolomieu (smallmouth bass) is the source of this 1200-nucleotide long non-coding RNA. RefSeq lists it as uncharacterized. NCBI's taxonomy places the organism in Eukaryota, Metazoa, Chordata, Actinopteri, Centrarchiformes, Centrarchidae. The record is from RefSeq and is a predicted model, not a curated record. The transcript has 3 exons.